UACGUAGGUGGCGAACGUCAUCCGGAAUUACUGGGCGUAAAGGGUCCGUAGGCGGGCGCGUCAGUCUGCUGUGAAAGCUUCCGGCUCAACUGGAAGAAGCCAGCAGACACUGCGCGUCUGGAAUCCGGCAGAGGUCGGCAGAAUUCCCGGUGUAGUGGUGGAAUGCGUAGAGAUCGGGAGGAAUACCGAAGGCGAAGGCCGCCGGCUGGGUCGAGAUUGACGCUGAGGGACGAAAGCGUGGGGAGCAAACAGG
This 253-nucleotide ribosomal RNA is filed under the name uncultured bacterium. Its description in RNAcentral is "partial 16S ribosomal RNA". It matches the Rfam family "Bacterial small subunit ribosomal RNA", at positions 524 to 776 of the family's 1533-position model. The record is from RNAcentral.